Hemiscyllium ocellatum (epaulette shark) is the source of this 8357-nucleotide long non-coding RNA. RefSeq lists it as uncharacterized. NCBI's taxonomy places the organism in Eukaryota, Metazoa, Chordata, Chondrichthyes, Orectolobiformes, Hemiscylliidae. The record is from RefSeq and is a predicted model, not a curated record. The transcript has 6 exons.
CGCGAGCCGCCCACGGGAAAACAACGGGGAUCUGUUGAAGAUCUGGAGGUGGGACUCGGGUGGAGAAAGUUACAAAUCUGUGCAGUGCGCAUGUCCGCCAUCACCCCCUUGGCUGCGCGGUCCCGGAGCGAGUGCGAGUGCGCAUGCGGAUAACCCACUACCGAGCAUGCGCGGUUCCCAGAGAAGAAGUGUUCGUUGGUGAUGUUCAGAAUUUUCUUUAGAUUCCGGAAGAAGGGCUCAUGCCCGAAACGUCGAUUCUCCUACUCCUUGGAUGCUGCCUGACCUGCUGCGCUUUUCCAGCAACACAUUUUCAACUGUGUAUAAAAAUAGUCUGUUUUUGACAGUAGGACAGAGUAGCUGGUCAGGACUCCUGAAAAAAGUGAUUUCAGGAAAAGGGGUUCAUUAAAAUAAAACUGAUCAGACGGUGUGUGACUCCCGCCAUUGUGAUCAGACAGUGUGUGACCACCCUCUCCCCCCACCACACAGUGAGACCAGACAAUGGGUGACCUGUGGGAGGAUGGAGCCCCAGCCCUGCUCAAUGAAUUCAGACAGUAUGUGACAUAGGUAACUACAAUGACUGCAGAUGCUAGGGCAGGUUGGGUAGAGAGUACCAUGUCACCAUAAAAUGGUUACUCUACAGAUUGAGACUAUUCAGUGGAUUUUGUCUGGGAUAUCACACCCGCAGUCAUUUCAAAUCCCAAUGCAGCACUGGCAUGUGACAAUCAUUGUUACGAUCAUUGCACUUCCAGUGCUGAUCCAAGAUCCGUUUAAACAAGUUGAGGUUCUCUUCCACCAAACUGGUCAGCAGCUUCCAGAUCACCACCAUCCACGAGGUGAAAAUGGUUUCACUGCAUGUCACCUUCAGAUAGGCAUUUCUUUUCUGGCAAUUUUCCGGAAACACGGGUUGUUGAGUCGGGGAUCCCAGGAGAAUGAAAUUCCACUUCACACCGUCAACUGUUGUAACAUUUCCUGACCUGCCCUAAUUUGAUCUCCCAGUGAAUUGUAAUGUGAAAGAGCUGGAAUAGGAAAUCAACUGGGGACUGUCAGCAGCUGAACCAUCACAGGAUUGGGGAGAGCAGCAACCAGGGAGAGCUCAAAGCUUCCAUAGAUCGACUUGGGUGAAAAGUAGGAGAAAGUUCCACAUUGAAGGACACUGGCUUUGACCACGAGACUGUCAAGAACAUCAGAAUCUGGGAAUACCUAUCACCAGCAUUGCUGAAGGAUUCAACAGGGAAGAAGAUCCAGUGUCUCACAAAGCGUUAGAAUGGACACAGUCUCAACAAUAACAUGCUCACAGAUUCUUGUGCCGACGAUCUCAGCUCCAGUCUACGUACAGGUCGCUCACUGACUGUUGUGAACCUGAAUGAUAAUAAAUUGGGGGAUUCAGGAGUGAAACUGCUGCCAGCAGCUCUAAGGAACCCAAACUGUAAAAUACAGAAACUGGAUUUGUAUGACGUCGGUCUCACAGAUUUUUGUGCUCAGGAGCUGUCAGUAGAAACCAGUCAUUGAAAGUUCUAGAUCUGGGAUCCAAUUCCUUCUCAGACCAGUUCAUCCCCACUGUCAGCUCCCUCGUACAGACCUGCAGAGGUUUGGAGCUGAUUGGGCUGUGGGGAAAUGGUUUCAGUCCAAAUGGAAAGAGAUGUCUAAAGUCACUGCAGGACUCUCGAGCCGGACUGACUGUUUCAUUAGGUGACUCUUUCAAUCUCUAAAGAUUACUGCUGUCACUAUAUUUGGACAAUCCUCUCUCCUUCCCCUUCAAAAAACAAAUGAUCUGUAUGGACUUGCUGGCCCCUCUCUCCCUUGACAACAUUUUGCACCCUCUCUGAGACAUCCUUGAUCCUAACACCAAGGAAGCAGCACACCAUUCUGCUUUUUCGCUGCUGGUCACAGGAACGUCUGUCUGUACCUUGGAAUCCCCGAACACAAUUGCUCUCAUUGUCCAUGUUGGAACCAACGACAUAGGAAGGGAAAAGGUUGAGAUUCUGAAGGGAGAUUACAGGGAGUUAGGCAGAAAUUUGAAAAGGAGGUCCUCGAGAGUACGAAUAUCUGGAUUACACCCGGUGCUACGAGCUAGUGAGGGCAGGAAUAGGAGGAUAGAGCAGAUGAAUGCGUGGCUGAGGAGCAGGUGUAUGGGAGAAGGAUUCACAUUUUUGGAUCAUUGGAAUCUCUUUUGGGGUAGAAGUGACCUGUACACGAAGGACGGAUUGAUCCUAAAUUGGAAGGGGACUAACGUACUGGCAGGGAAAUUUGCUAGAGCUGCUCAGAAGGAUUUAAACUAGUAAGGUGGGGGGUGGGGGUGCCGUGUGGUGUGACCCAGGGAGAUAGUGAGGAAAGAGAUCAAUCUGAGACUGGUCCAGUUGAGAACAGAAGUGAGUCAAACAGUCAGGGCAGGCAGGGACAAGGUGGGCCUAAUAAAUUAAACUGCAUUUAUUUCAACACAAAGGGCUUAACAGGGAAGGCAGAUGAACUCAGAGCAUGGUUAGGAACAUGGGACUGGGAUAUCAUAGCAAUUACAGAAACAUGGCUCAGGGAUGGGCAGGACUGGCAGCUUAAUGUUCCAGGAUACAAAUGUUACAGGAAGGAUAGAAAGGGAGGCAAGCAGGGGGCUGGCAUUUUUGGCUCAGGGAUAGCAUUCCUGCUGUGCUGAGGGAGUAUAUUCCUGGAAAUACAUCCAGGGAAAUUAGUUAGGUGGAACUGAGAAAUAAGAAAGGGAUGAUAACCUAAUACUCAGAGGGAAAUUGAGAAACAAACUUGUAAGGAGAUCUCAGCUAUCUGUAAGAAUAAUAGGGUAGUUAUGGUAGGGGGUUUUAACUUUCCAAAUGUAGACUGGGACUGCCAUAGUAUUAAGAUGGAGAGGAAUUUGUUAAGUGUGUACCAGACAAUUUUCUGAUUCCGUCUGUGAUGUUCCGACUAGAGAAGGUGCAAAACUUGACGUACUCUUGGGAAGUAAGGCAGGGCAGGUGAAUGAAGUGUCAGUGGGGGAGCACUUUGGGGCCAGCAACCAUAAUUCUAUUAGAUUUAAAAUAGUGAUGGAAAAGGAUAGACCAGAUCUAAAAGUUGAAGUUCUAAAUUGGAGGAAGGCCAAUUUUGACGGUAUUAGGCAAGAACUUUGGAAAGCUGAAUUAGGGGCAGAUGAAGGGAUGGCUGGAAAAUGGGAAGCCUUCAGAAAUGAGAUAACGACAAUCCAGAGAAAAUAUAUUCCUGUUAGGGUGAAAGGAAAGCUGGUAGGUAUAGGGAAUGCUGGAUGACGAAAGAAAUUGAGGGUUUGGUUAAGAAAAAGAAGGUAUAUGUAAGGUAUAGACAGGAUAGAUCGAGUGAAUCCUUAGAAGAGUAUAAAGGAAGUAGGAGUAUACUUCAGAGCGAAAUCAGGAGGGCAAAAAGAGGACAUGAGAUAGCUUGGGCAAAUAGAAUUAAGGAGAAUCCAAAGAGUUUUUACAAAUACAUUAAGGCAAAAAGGGUAACUAGGGAGAGAAUUGGGUCCCUCAAAGAUCAGCAAGGCGCCCUUUGUGUGGAGCCGCAGAAAAUGGAGGAGAUACUAAAUGAAUAUUUUGCAUCAGUAUUUAGUGUGGAAAAGGAUAUGGAAGAUAAAGACUGCAAGGAAAUAGAUGGUGACAUCUUGCAAAAUGUCCAUAUUACAGAGGUGGAAGUGCUGGAUGUCUUGAAAAGGGUAAAGGUGGAUAAAUCCCCAGGACCUGAUCAGGUGUACCCUAGAACUCUGUGGGUAGAUAGAGAAGUGAUUGCUGGGCCUCCUGCUGUGAUAUUUGUAUCAUCAUUAGUCACAGGUGAGGUGCCGGAAGACUGGAGGUUGCAAAACAUGGUGCCACUGUUUAAGAAGGGUGGUAAGGACAAGCCAGGGAACUAUAGACCGGUGAGCCUGACGUCAGUGGUGGGCAUGUUGUUGGAAGGAAUUCUGAGGGACAGGAUGUACAUGUAUUUGGAAAGGCAAGGACUGAUUAGGGGUAGUCAACAUGGCUUUGUGCUUGGGAAAUCAUGUCUCUCAAACUUGAUUGGGUUUUUUGAGGAUUGAUGAGGGCAGAGCAGGAGAUGUGAUCGAUACGGACUUCAGUAAGGCAUUUGACAAGGUUCCCCAUGGGAGAUUGAUUAUCAAGGUUAGAUCUCACAGAAAACAGGGGGAACUAGCCAUUUGGAUACAGAACUGGCACAAAGGUAGAAGACAGAAAGUGAUGGUGGAGGGCUGAUUUUCAGACUUGGACGCCUGUGACCAAUGGAUCAGCCACAAGUAUCGGUGCUGGGUCCUGUACUUUUUGUCAUUUACAUAAAUGAUUUAGAUGCGAGCAUAAGAGGUACAGUCAGUAAGUUUGCAGAUAACACCAAAACUGGAGGCGUAGUGGACAGCAAAGAGGGUUACCUCAGAUUUAAAACAGGAACUGGACCAGAUGGGCCAAUGGGCUGGGAAGUGGCAGAUGGAGUUUAAUUCAGAUAAAUGUGAGGUGCUGCAUUUUGGGAAAACAAAUCUGAGCAGGACUUAUACACUUAAUGGUAAGGUUCUAGGGAGUGUUGCUGAACAAAGAGACCUUGGAGUGCAGAUUCAUAGCUCCUUGAAAGUGGAGUCGCAGGUAGAUAGCAUAGUGAAGAAGGUGUUUGGUAUGCUUUCCUUUAUUGCUCAGAGUAUUGAGUACAGGAGUUGGGAGGUCAUGUUGCGGCUGUACAGGACAUUGGUUAGGCCACUGUUGGAAUAUUGCAUGCAAUUCUGGUCUCCUUCCUAUCGGAAUGAUGUUGUGAAACUUGAAAGCAUUCAGAAGACAUUUACAAUGAUGUUGCCAGGGUUGGAGGAUUUGAGCUAUAGGGAGAGGCUGAACAGGCUGGGGCUGUUUUCCCUGGAGCAUUAAAGGCUGAGGGAUUACCUGAUAGAGGUUUACAAAAUUAUGAGGGGCAUGAGUAGGAUAAAUAGGCAAAGUCUUUUCCCUGGGGUCGGAGAGUCCAGAACUAGAUGGUAUAGGUUUAGGGUGAGAGAGGAAAGAUAUAAAAGAGACCUAAGGGGCAACUUUUUCACGCAGAGGGUGGUCCGUGGAUGGAAUGAGCUGCCAGAGGAUGUGGUGGAGGGUGGAACAAUUGCAAUAUUUCAGAGGCAUUUGGAUGGGUAUAUGAAUAGGAAGGGUUUGGAGGGGUAUGGGCCGGGUGCUGGCAGAUGGGAAUAGAUUGGGUUGGGAUAUCUGGUCGGGUUGGAUCGAAGGGUCUGUUUCCAUGUUGUACCUUUCUUUGACUCUAUGACCUCACUCAGGCAUUCGUCAAGGUUCCUCUUGGGAGACUGGUGAGCGAGGUUAGACCUCAUGGAAUACAGGAAGAACUAGCCAUUUGGACACAGAACUGGCUUGGAAGUAGAAGACAGAGGGUGGUGAUGGCGGCUUACCUUUCAGACUGGAGGCCUGUGAACAGUGGUGUGCUACAAGGAUCAACACUGGGUCCGCUGCUUUUUGUCAUUAUAUAAAUGAUCUCUAUGUGAAUGUAGGAGGUAUAGUUAGUAAGUUUCGGAUGACAACAAAGUUGGAGUGGACAGUGAAAAAGGCUACCUCAGAGGACAAUGGGAUCUUGAUCAGAUGGGCCAAUGGGCUGAGAUGUUCAGAUGGAAUUUAAUUUAGAUAAAUGCGAGGUGCUGCAUUUUGGAAAGGCAAAUCAGAGCAGGACCUCUCCACUUUAAUAGAAAGGUCCUGGGGUGUGUUGCUAAAUGAAGAGACCUUGGAGUGCAUGUUCAUAGUUCCUUGAAAGAGGAGUCAAAGGUAGAUAGGAUUCUGAAGAAGGCAUUUGGUAUGCUUUCCUUUAUUGUUCAGAGUAUUGAGUACAGGAGUUGGGAGGUCAUGUUGCAGCUAUACAGGAUAUUGGUGAGGCCAUUUUUGGAAUGUUGUAUGCAAUUCUGGUCUCCUUCUUAUUGGAAAGAUGUUGUGAAACUUGAAAGGGUUCAGAAAUGAUCUACAAGGAUGUUGCCAGGGUUGGAGGAUUUGAGCUAUAGGGAGAGGCUGAACAGACUGGGGCUGUUUUCCCUGGAGCAUCAGAGGCUGGGGCAGUGACCUUUAUAGAGGUUUAUAAAAUUAUAAGGAGCAUCGAUAGGAUAAAUAGACAAAAUCUUUUCAGGGGCUGCUGAGCUGGGAUAGAUAUCCAGUGUCAAAUAGGGACCAGCAUUCAUUGUCUGGGGUGUACGGUCUGGGUUCACCCAGGGAGAGGAUCAGAUUGAGUUAGAUCCAGGCUAUUGAGCACAAGAGAAAUCACUGAUUUUCUGCUUGCUCAAAGGAAGUUGCUGAAACCAUGUAUGUAAUAAACACUCUGCAUUAUUAAUGUGUCUGCCAUUCACUCACAGCCAGAAUAACUAGCAGAGAUUAAGGUUUGUCAAAUGACGCAGUUGAUCCAUGAUGCAUGUUGCUGCUCAACAUUAAACAGGUUUGAAAUGCUGAGUGAUGCAGCAGAAAUUAUAGGCUGAAUCUUUGGGGUUUGUGUUGAAUUAAGUCCAUGUUGAAUUGGGUUUCUGGCAGCGUAUCACUCAGUGAGGGCUAGUGAGAUCUCUUGCCACCCCUUAGCCCAACAUGCAUCAUUAACGAUACAGAUUGCAUCUUUUUCUUGUGUGAUUUCCGCCCUUCUGACCAUGUACUAUUCCUGGAACAGCUCACCACUAACUGCCCAAAGCCCAGCGUCCCUUGCAGCCACACUCCCUUUGAAAGGCGGCGGUACACCCCAGGGAAGAGUUGGUAAUCUGGCUUCGAGCCUCAGCAGCAACAGCCACAAAGAUACACUGCUCUUGUUACACAGUCAGCGUGGCUGACACUCCCCUUAGGGUACAACCCCAUUCUCUCACCGUAGUCACUGCUUAUCCAGUGUUCCCGACUGGAACUGGCCAGGCUUGCAGGGCCUGAUCCAACAGAGCUCCAUCCUGGACAAGCUGAGCUUCCUCACUGGGAGACUGCUCCGACCUGCCCCAGUUCCUCAGCGUCUAUCACAUCCCAGUCUGUCUGCUGCACAGCACAGCAAGGCCGGAUGCCUAUGCACAUUGUGGCAGCCAUAUUGGCUCCUCCUUUGGCUGUUGUCCACCUCUUUUCAUUCAUUCCCCCCCCCCCGGGUCUCCAUGUGUCCUGACCUAAUUGUGUUCCCUUCAGCCCCUUUCCCCAGUCCACGCUCAACUACAUUGGAGACUCACCGCAUGUUUGAAAACUGAGCUGAUUUUCUUUGAGGCAUAUAAACGUCUGACAAAGCUCAACAGGAUCGCUGCAGGAAGGAUGCUGCUCUUGGCUGGGGGGGGCCUCCAAAGCGCAGGAAGAUAGUAUCAGAAUGCGACGUUGGCCAUUUCAGACUGAGAGAAGAGACUGAGCGGGGAGAAGGCUGAAAUGUCAAUGUUAACCUGCUUCCUUUGUUGGUUCUUCACUUCCUUGACUGUCGGUGGGAAGAGAGAAAGUUUUCAAACAAUUCCAUAAUAUUGAGAAAGAAAGUCAAUUAGUCCAAUUUCCCCAAUGAUUGCACGCCAUUUUAAAGAUUUCAAGAACCGAACUCUCACCUUUGUCAACAUUUUUAAUCAUUUCUUCCUUGAGCCAUAUCCUAUCCACCCACCAGGUUUUAUUCAAACCGGUUUUUUGUCUUUGAGCACUUUUUUUUAGCAACAGACUAACAAAUAGAGGUGAAAGAUCACAAAUGAAUGGAAUAGCUAAAUGGUGAAAUAAAGAAAGAAUAAGAGAAAGUCAGAAGAUGCUGAUUCCAAGGCCUCUUUUGUUACAUAAACUGGGAAAGUUUGAAUGUUUGGACACUGCUGUGUUGCAAAGAAAGUGAGGGUUUUUUUUUCACAGCUCCAAGGUUGAAAGUGGAACUCUAAGCUAUUCCCAUCCAAGUUACACAAAGGCAUGUCAUUUUUGGAGAAGCUGGACUUUGAUCCUCUAUUGAGGCAAGCUGACACCAGGUGUUUUAACAAUCUUUGGGGUUUGAAGUUGCAGUGUGUUGCAAAGUUGAGAAAUGGGGGUGGCAUACAAAUUUUUGAAAACCUUGUAAACAUAGAUCUUUGACUCUCCCUCUCGUGAGUAAUGAUCAAACACUCGAAAGACUCAGGAAACAAGAAUUUCUAUCUCGAGCAAUGACCUAGGUCCAACUGACCAGCUACGGAAUUGAUGAUCUCCUGCUCUCACUGCAGUCAACAUCUCCGUGGUAUUUCCUGUGGUUUUCGCCGACAAUUUGAGGAAGUUACUUCAUUCCACUUCUGUAGUCUGGACCCUUGAUCCACAGAAAUUGUUCCUUUCUGCCUCAGUUUUUCAUUGUUAAUGUUGUGGCCAAACUGUCGACCUAGUCUGUCCUAAUUAUGGGUAUAUUUGGGAUUAAGGAGGAAACCGCUUAAAUUUCAUUAUGUUUAUUGUUCAUCUGUUUUGUCA